GGGCCGUUAGCUCAGUCGGUAGAGCAGCUGGCUUUUAACCAGUUGGUCGGCAGUUCGAGUCUGCCACGGCCCACCA
RNAcentral lists this transfer RNA (76 nucleotides) under Gammaproteobacteria bacterium. RNAcentral's name for it is "tRNA-Lys". It matches the Rfam family "tRNA". From Rfam's summary of the family: Transfer RNA (tRNA) molecules are approximately 80 nucleotides in length. The record is from RNAcentral. Lineage: Bacteria; Pseudomonadati; Pseudomonadota; Gammaproteobacteria.